Molecule: long non-coding RNA, 626 nt
Organism: Branchiostoma belcheri (Belcher's lancelet)
Lineage: Eukaryota; Metazoa; Chordata; Leptocardii; Amphioxiformes; Branchiostomatidae
Exons: 3
Source: RefSeq, a predicted model, not a curated record
UACUAGUAGCCCAGGAGACACAGAUAAGACAGGAUAAUGUGAUCAGAGGUAAACAGAACAUAUCAGGGUUAUCUGUAGUCCUGAUCAGUAUGUUUCCUGGAGGGUACCUGUUGUCUGAAGGAUUCAGCGUGGACAUUCCUGUGACGGCCUGAUAGUACAGGUGCGGCAACAAAGAACAAUGAACCAUGGGAAUUUGGAGGAUCUAACGACUUGUUUGGGGUCAACCCCUCCAAUGGUUGAUCAAAGGAAGCCGGCCAUAGCUGGAGGACAAAUUGCAGUCAUUGGACAUAACAUCAAGAGACCAGCAGAGCUGAAGCUCCACCAUGCAGUCCUGCUGUGCACUGCAGUCCCAGAGGGUACCUUGGUUACUUGUGCGCAAGAGAGGCAUCCCGUUUGGCAGCAUGAUAGACAAGCAAAUGCUAUCAGCGCAACCUAACAAUUGCCCAGAUGCUUAGACUCCAAGCUACUUCAGCGCCAGCCCAACCCACAAAUCAAACUUUGGCUAACUCCCAGCAUAUGACAACAAAUAUUCCCAUCUACAUGUGGAUAUCCCCCGCCAAUUAGAACAAUGUUCCGUAAUCCACCGCUGAUACUGCAGGGGUUAAUGGCUACCUAAGAGGCCAACA